AGUCAAGUAAUUAAGUGCAUGUGGUGGAUGCCUUGGCAGUCAGAGGCGAUGAAAGACGUGAUAGCCUGCGAAAAGCUCCGGGGAGGCGGCAAAUAUCCUUUGAUCCGGAGAUGUCUGAAUGGGGGAACCCACCUACUUUAAGGUAGGUAUUGCAACAUGAAUACAUAGUGUUGCAAGGCGAACGAGGGGAAGUGAAACAUCUCAGUACCCUUAGGAAAAGAAAUCAAUUGAGAUUCCCUCAGUAGCGGCGAGCGAACGGGGAUCAGCCCAUUAAGUUAUGUGUGUUUUAGUGGAACGCUCUGGGAAGUGCGAACGUAGAGGGUGAUAUUCCCGUACACGAAAGGGCACACAUAAUGAUGACGAGUAGGGCGAGGCACGUGAAACCUUGUCUGAAUAUGGGGGGACCAUCCUCCAAGGCUAAAUACUCCUGACUGACCGAUAGUGAACCAGUACCGUGAGGGAAAGGCGAAAAGAACCCCUGUGAGGGGAGUGAAAUAGAUCCUGAAACCGCAUGCAUACAAGCAGUGGGAGCACCUUCGUGGUGUGACUGCGUACCUUUUGUAUAAUGGGUCAGCGACUUAUAUUCAGUAGCGAGGUUAACCGUAUAGGGGAGCCGUAGAGAAAUCGAGUCUUAAUAGGGCGUUUAGUUGCUGGGUAUAGACCCGAAACCAGGCGAUCUAUCCAUGAGCAGGUUGAAGGUUGGGUAACACUAACUGGAGGACCGAACCCACUGUCGUUGAAAAGCCAGGGGAUGACUUGUGGAUAGGGGUGAAAGGCUAAUCAAGCCUGGUGAUAGCUGGUUCUCCCCGAAAGCUAUUUAGGUAGCGCCUCGGACGAAUACCAUAGGGGGUAGAGCACUGUUUCGGCUAGGGGGUCAUCCCGACUUACCAAACCGAUGCAAACUCCGAAUACCUAUGAGUACUAUCCGGGAGACAGACUGCGGGUGCUAACGUCCGUAGUCAAGAGGAAAACAAUCCAGACCGCCAGCUAAGGCCCCAAAAUCAUAGUUAAGUGGGAAACGAUGUGGGAAGGCAUAGACAGCUAGGAGGUUGGCUUAGAAGCAGCCACCCUUUAAAGAAAGCGUAAUAGCUCACUAGUCGAGUCGGCCUGCGCGGAAGAUGUAACGGGGCUAAAACUAUGUGCCGAAGCUGCGGAUGUAUACAUUGUAACGUGGUAGGGGAGCGUUCUGUAAGCCGAUGAAGGUGUGUUGAGAAGCAUGCUGGAGGUAUCAGAAGUGCGAAUGCUGACGUGAGUAACGACAAAACGGGUGAAAAACCCGUUCGCCGAAAGACCAAGGGUUCCAGUCCAACGUUAAUCGGGGCUGGGUGAGUCGACCCCUAAGGCGAGGCCGAAAGGCGUAGUCGAUGGGAAAAUGGUUAAUAUUCCAUUACUUCUGUGUAAUGCGAUGAGAGGACGGAGAAGGCUAAAUCAGCCUGGCGUUGGUUGUCCAGGUGAAAGGAUGUAGGCAUGUAUCUUAGGCAAAUCCGGGGUACUCUAUGCUGAGAUCUGAUAGCAAGCUGUACUUGUACAGCGAAGUGGUUGAUGCCAUGCUUCCAGGAAAAGUCUCUAAGCUUCAGUUACACAGGAAUCGUACCCGAAACCGACACAGGUGGUCAGGUCGAGUAGACCAAGGCGCUUGAGAGAACUCUGCUGAAGGAACUAGGCAAAAUGGUACCGUAACUUCGGGAGAAGGUACGCUGUUGUUGGUGAUGGAACUCGCUUCCUGAGCUGACGACAGCCGCAGAAACCAGGCCGCUGCAACUGUUUAUUAAAAACAUAGCACUCUGCAAACACGAAAGUGGACGUAUAGGGUGUGAUGCCUGCCCGGUGCUGGAAGGUUAAUUGAUGGGGUUAGCGUAAGCGAAGCUCUUGAUCGAAGCCCCAGUAAACGGCGGCCGUAACUAUAACGGUCCUAAGGUAGCGAAAUUCCUUGUCGGGUAAGUUCCGACCUGCACGAAUGGCAUAAUGAUGGCGGCGCUGUCUCCAGCAGAGGCUCAGUGAAAUCGAAAUCGCUGUGAAGAUGCAGUGUACCCGCGGCUAGACGGAAAGACCCCGUGAACCUUUACUGCAGCUUGACACUGAACUUUGACCUUACUUGUGUAGGAUAGGUGGGAGGCUUUGAAGCUGGAACGCUAGUUCCAGUGGAGCCGUCCUUGAAAUACCACCCUGGUAAUGUUGAGGUUCUAACUCUGUCCCGUGAUCCGGGACGAGGACCGUGUCUGGUGGGUAGUUUGACUGGGGCGGUCUCCUCCUAAAGAGUAACGGAGGAGUACGAAGGUGCGCUCAGCGUGGUCGGAAAUCACGCGUAGAGUAUAAAGGCAAAAGCGCGCUUAACUGCGAGACCCACAAGUCGAGCAGGUACGAAAGUAGGUCUUAGUGAUCCGGUGGUUCUGUAUGGAAGGGCCAUCGCUCAACGGAUAAAAGGUACUCUGGGGAUAACAGGCUGAUACCGCCCAAGAGUUCAUAUCGACGGCGGUGUUUGGCACCUCGAUGUCGGCUCAUCUCAUCCUGGGGCUGAAGCAGGUCCCAAGGGUAUGGCUGUUCGCCAUUUAAAGAGGUACGCGAGCUGGGUUUAGAACGUCGUGAGACAGUUCGGUCCCUAUCUACCGUGGGCGCUGGAAAUUUGAGAGGAUCUGCUCCUAGUACGAGAGGACCAGAGUGGACGAACCUCUGGUGUACCGGUUGUGACGCCAGUCGCAUCGCCGGGUAGCUAUGUUCGGAAGGGAUAACCGCUGAAAGCAUCUAAGCGGGAAGCCUACCUCAAGAUAAGAUUUCCCUAGGACUUUAUGUCCUCUAAAGAGCCGUUCGAGACUAGGACGUUGAUAGGUUGGAUGUGGAAGCAUAGUGAUAUGUGAAGCUGACCAAUACUAAUUGCUCGUGAGGCUUGACUAU
This 2892-nucleotide ribosomal RNA is filed under the name Acinetobacter baumannii. RNAcentral's name for it is "23S ribosomal RNA". It matches the Rfam family "Bacterial large subunit ribosomal RNA". The record is from RNAcentral. Lineage: Bacteria; Pseudomonadati; Pseudomonadota; Gammaproteobacteria; Moraxellales; Moraxellaceae.